AAAUGAAUAGACGGGGACCCGCACAAGCGGUGGAGCAUGUGGUUUAAUUCGAAGCAACGCGAAGAACCUUACCAAGUCUUGACAUCCCGAUGACGGAAACUUAACCGUUUCUUCUCUUCGGAGCAUCGGAGACAGGUGGUGCAUGGUUGUCGUCAGCUCGUGUCGUGAGAUGUUGGGUUAAGUCCCGCAACGAGCGCAACCCUUAUUGUCAGUAGCCAGCAUUAAGUUGGGCACUCUGACGAGACUGCCAGGGAUAACCUGGAGGAAGGCGGGGAUGACGUCAAAUCAUCAUGCCCCUUAUGACUUGGGCCACACACGUGCUACAAUGGCGUAAACAAAGAGAAGCAAAACCGCGAGGUCAAGCGAAUCUCAAAAAUAACGUCUCAGUUCGGAUUGUAGUCUGCAACUCGACUACAUGAAGCUGGAAUCGCUAGUAAUCGCAGAUCAGAAUGCUGCGGUGAAUACGUUCCCGGGUCUUGUACACACCGCCCGU
RNAcentral lists this ribosomal RNA (493 nucleotides) under uncultured bacterium. RNAcentral describes it as "bacterial SSU rRNA". It matches the Rfam family "Bacterial small subunit ribosomal RNA", at positions 903 to 1397 of the family's 1533-position model. The record is from RNAcentral.